RNAcentral lists this ribosomal RNA (469 nucleotides) under uncultured bacterium. RNAcentral describes it as "partial 16S ribosomal RNA". It matches the Rfam family "Bacterial small subunit ribosomal RNA", at positions 28 to 507 of the family's 1533-position model. The record is from RNAcentral.
GACGAACGCUGGCGGCGUGCUUAACACAUGCAAGUCGAACGAUGAAGCACCAGCUUGCUGGUGUGGAUUAGUGGCGAACGGGUGAGUAACACGUGAGUAACCUGCCCCUCACUCUGGGAUAAGCCUGGGAAACUGGGUCUAAUACUGGAUACGACCGAUCUCCGCAUGGGGGGUUGGUGGAAAGUUUUUGUGGUGGGGGAUGGACUCGCGGCCUAUCAGCUUGUUGGUGGGGUAGUGGCCUACCAAGGCGACGACGGGUAGCCGGCCUGAGAGGGCGACCGGCCACACUGGGACUGAGACACGGCCCAGACUCCUACGGGAGGCAGCAGUGGGGAAUAUUGCACAAUGGGCGAAAGCCUGAUGCAGCGACGCCGCGUGAGGGAUGACGGCCUUCGGGUUGUAAACCUCUUUCACCAGGGACGAAGCUAACGUGACGGUACCUGGAGAAGAAGCACCGGCUAACUACGUG